Long non-coding RNA from Catharus ustulatus (Swainson's thrush), 3245 nucleotides. RefSeq lists it as uncharacterized. The record is from RefSeq and is a predicted model, not a curated record. Lineage: Eukaryota; Metazoa; Chordata; Aves; Passeriformes; Turdidae. The transcript has 3 exons.
GUUAUUUAUGCUCCUCUAGAAAUUACUUCUGCAAGGAGGAAUGUGCGAGCGGAUACCUAGGACAGCUAGUGGGCUCUUUGCUCUCUAGCGGAGUAACCCUGGCUUUACUGUCUGGGCACCAGGGCAGAAUUAACACAGAGCAGCAGGGAGCGGGUCUGCGCCGGGCUGGUCCCUGCCGCUGCUCCCGGCGGCGCUGCCCAGGACCGGCUCCCCACGGCAGCUGCAGGGAUUCCCCGGCGCUGCCGAACCCCGAGCACCGCCCCAAGGUGCCCCCCUGCUCCGGAGCCCACCCCGGCACCCACCGCCCCCGCUGUGCCUCCCUCCAGCGGGGAAAUCCCGGCUGGAUCGGGAGAAGCCUCCCCGCUCCGGAGUGCCGGAGAGCCGGAGGAUGCUGCGAGCUCCGCCAGCGCCGCGGCCACGCCGCUUCUAAACCACAGAAAUAAUUUCCUAAAAACCCCAACAACUCAAGAGCCGAGUCAGGAGGCUGGGAGGCUCCCACUGCGCCGUCUGCAGCAGCGGGGAGCGGGGAUUUGCAGUCCUGUCUGCACCAUUUCUCUGGAGCACAUAAGAAAUAAGAUAUGGUGCGCCCUACAGCCACACCCACACCAGCCUUGGUCACAAGGUGCAAGGAGGAGAUAUGCAGGUGAGCUCUGCAGUGGCUGGGAAAGGCUCCUUUCUGUAAAGCAAAGCAGAAGAGGAGUGUGUUUGCCCCAGAGAUGCCUCAGGGGAGCAUGAUACAGUGAUAUGGGUGUAGCGUGGAGAAGUGCAGAGCAUGGAGAGAUCCGGGUCUCUGCCAGCACCUGGCUGAGCCAAGAACACAGAGCAAAACCAAAUCCACCUAAAACAGAAACCUCUCAAGGCAUGAAAACCGCUUGAGAUACUCAUUUUUUCUUCACAAUACCCAUGGAUGAGCGUUUUGUCAGCCUCACAGGUCUCCGUGAAGAACUAUCUCUGCAGCUCACAGCCCCCUCCUCUCUCCCAGCCCUCAGGGGUUGGAGACCACCUGAAGAGCUUCAAACUCAGUGGGAGCUGAAAGAGCAUCCAAAGAUGUAACUCUCCGUUCAUAAAGAGUUCAAAUGCAUCCAUGGAUCUCAGUUGUGUUUUUUACAGUAACUUAAAAAAAUGGGAGUUCUAAGACUCCCCAAUUUCCCUUUACCCCUGAGUCUUCCUUUUCCUCCCCUCUAAUUUUUUUUCCAAUUCUUUCUCCCCAAAUUUUGCCAGAAUUUCUGUAUCUAUAGACAUUCUGCAAAAUGGACCCAGAUUUUGUUUCCAGCCUGGUAGUUCAUGUUGCUCUGAAGGUUGUGCAAGGAGCCCACUUCUCUUUCCUUGCCUGGGCACCACACAGCUGCAGACAGGGUGCUUGGGUAAUGACAGGGUCCUUCUGCAAACAACCGGCUGUGAAGUGACACAUUCCUGUCAGCGGAAAACUCUGCAGAUGUUCUUUAAUCUCGCAACAGAGCAAGCGUUUCUGUGCCACCCUAGCAGGGAAACCGUCUUUGUUAUAGCACAGCUGGGCAACUUUGUUCUUUUCCAGAAAAUGCUACAGCACAACUUUGUGUGCCGUGGGGAGCUGCACCAGGCGGACAAACCUGCUGACUGAGACACCACUGGACACAGAUUUAUUCCUGAAGAAAAGGUUGAACAAGAUCAAAUCAUCAUGGCAGCAGAGAGGUAUCUAAGGCUCCAGGGAACACGAACAAGCUGCAGGGUAAAGCCAGUCACUGUCAGCAGCUGAGCGGGUAAUUCACAGCAAACCACAGCUUUGAUUAAGUGCACCCUUUUCCCAGCUGCAGAGAAAUUGUUAAAGCUCUUGGAAGUUCCCUACUUGCUUCUAGUAAUUACAAACGGAGACUUUUAUGCAGAAGACCAGUGAAAGAACUGUGCAUCUGUGAAAUGCCCUGAAGCCCUGGAAACAGAGGAUGUCACAGCAUUCAAGGUACUUCAGAGACUUUGAGGACCUUGUCACUGCAUGAAUUCCACCUACUUUUGAAGUCUUGCCUUUUGCAGUAAAGAGAAUAAGGCAGAACUAUCCUUAUCUCCUGUCUCUAAAGGCCUGGCAAAAGGAAAGCAUCAUGCAGAGUACACGAGCAAGAGUCUGGGCGACACAAAUUGUGUCAUUGCUCUCUGCAUAAAGAUCUGUGCUUGUCCCUUGCAUGCAUGGAUCAUGUAGGGACAUUGAGAUACCCAAAGAGAGUCCCUAGCUACAGCAGAGCCAAUGUCUCAGUGUCAGUGGUGUCCACAUUCCCUGAUCACCUAGCUGUUCCUACACCUUGGCUUCCAGUCUGGUUGUACUCCAGGACCAGCAAACUUCAGGCACUGCAAGAACAGCUCACACAUGGGUAUGGAUUCAGCUCAAGACAGUCAGGGAGCCCACAUCACCAUAGUAACUGCACGCUGUUGCCUUAAUUUCAGCAAAUAAAUGAAGCUUCUAAGUCAAGGGGUAUUUAUGCAGAGCAGUGCAAGAGCACGCAAAGAAACUGCAACAGUCCUAAAUGCGGCACCAGGCUUUCCUGGCUUCUUCAUCCUGCUUUUCAGACGGACUGAUUGGUUGGAAGGUUCCAUCAAUAUGAUUAGCUUGCUUUCUGUAUUUGACGUGGUGUUUCUAGACAUGACUUGGGUAUUUCUACAGAGCACAACACUCAGCCAUGUAGGACCAACCAGAAGUAUGAGAAAGCUUCUACAGUAAUGUAUACAUUCUCAAAAACUGAGGUUGCUAUAGAAAAAAUUAGCAGGUUUGAGUACUCCCCUUCUGACUGGUGAUGUUUGUUUAGGAGCUUUUACAUAUUGAUAAAGAUGGGAUGAAUUGUUCUUUAUGAGAAAAGGCUGGCUGGGAUGCUCAUUUUGUUGCCCAAAGCCCACCCACUUUUUUUUAAUAAUUGAAACAAAAAAAUAUUCACAAGUGGCAAACACAGGUACAAAAUUCUGGUUCACUCAAGCUGACUUAAAGGCUGGGAGGGAGUGGUUGAGUAUGCAGCUUGUUGACCACACUGCCUAAACUGCUCUGUGUCUGCCGGGUGCUGACUUCCCCUUUAGUCUCAUGUUUGGGGAAGUGUUAUAAAAAAGAAGAAUCUUUCUAAUCCAGGAACUCUGGAGCCAGAAGGAAGAAAAACAUUUUUACUGGAUCUGUCUGAGAUUGAGUUCAUUUUCCCAUGGCAUCCCUCACAGUGCUCUGCUGGGCAUUGAUGGCUGGAAAGGUGUUGGAAGCACAGCAGUGUUUGACUCCUGCAGAGCAGAGUUGGCCCAGC